CCUGUAGCGAUCGGAAACGAAUCCUCGGUGGCACUCGCCGCAGAAGACCAGGCCGUCAGGUUCAUCGGGGCCUGGUGCAUCUCCGUCAGAGGAGUGGAUCUGAGAGAUGGACGACGGCGGCUAGGCAGUGGAUCUUGGUCAGUGAAUCAUAGCCGUCCGAUUCGUUUGAUCGCUUAGCUGGGGUUAUAUAUACCGAACGGCUUCAUUGGCGUGUUAGGGUGGAGAGAGGGAUCGAGGAGUAGGCGAUGUUUCGCCGUGGGAGGUUCUUGUCGUUCCCUUUGGUGAUCGGCGCGGUAAUAAUAGGAGUGGUCUCUGGGAAGGCCAUUUUUGGGCGUCCUCUCGAGGAGUACUGGACAAAGAAGUUGCAGGAAGAGGCAGCCAAGAAGGGUGAUGCCAGCACCAGUUAGCAGCAAGCACCAGUUUGAUUAUUUGCUCCUGUUUUUACUUGAGGAAACUGUAGAAUUUAUGGCGUUCUAAGGUCAGUAGCUUCUCUUGGCAGUCAAAUGGCGUUGUAAUGAAGUUUGCAACUCUAAUAGGAUGCCAGCUUUUCCAAACAAUGUAAUUGGUUGGUUCUAAACUCGAAGAAGACAUGGAAGACUUUGGGCAUAAAACUGCAGCACUUAAGUUGCUAUGUUGUUAUUUCAGCCCAAUACAGUUUUAUAUGGAAUUAUGUAUGAGGGAUUGUAGGCGAAGAACUAAUUAAACACGUCCACAGAUACAUUGUAUCAUUUGGAGAGAAGUAAUAAAUGAAUUUGAGUCUAAUGUAA
Musa acuminata AAA Group (dessert banana) is the source of this 767-nucleotide long non-coding RNA. RefSeq lists it as uncharacterized. The record is from RefSeq and is a predicted model, not a curated record. NCBI's taxonomy places the organism in Eukaryota, Viridiplantae, Streptophyta, Magnoliopsida, Zingiberales, Musaceae. The transcript is spliced from 2 exons.